RNAcentral lists this ribosomal RNA (482 nucleotides) under uncultured bacterium. RNAcentral's name for it is "partial 16S ribosomal RNA". It matches the Rfam family "Bacterial small subunit ribosomal RNA", at positions 28 to 507 of the family's 1533-position model. The record is from RNAcentral.
GACGAACGCUGGCGGCGUGCUUAACACAUGCAAGUCGAACGCUGAAGCUCAGCUUGCUGGGUGGAUGAGUGGCGAACGGGUGAGUAACACGUGAGUAACCUGCCCUCUUCUUUGGGAUAACGCCCGGAAACGGGUGCUAAUACUGGAUAUUCACUGAUUCUCGCAUGGGGGUUGGUGGAAUGGUUUUUUCUGGUGGGGGAUGGGCUCGCGGCCUAUCAGCUUGUUGGUGGGGUGAUGGCCUACCAAGGCUUUGACGGGUAGCCGGCCUGAGAGGGUGACCGGUCACAUUGGGACUGAGAUACGGCCCAGACUCCUACGGGAGGCAGCAGUGGGGAAUAUUGCACAAUGGGCGAAAGCCUGAUGCAGCGACGCCGCGUGAGGGAUGGAGGCUUUCGGGUUGUAAACCUCUUUCGCUCAUGGUCAAGCCGCAGCUUUGGGUUGUGGUGAGGGUAGUGGGUAAAGAAGCGCCGGCUAACUACGUG